CAUGCUUUCUACAUCCCUGGCAGACCAGGACAUAUUCAAUGCAUUCAUAAAACAGAACCCAGUUCUGGUGCAUCAGCUUCCGUGCUUCUGGAACGUACAGUUAUCGGAUCAUACUCGCUCUGAACAGUGCUACACUGAGGUGUCAGAUCUAAAGGUCAUUCACUGGAACUCUCCUAAAAAGCUGAGGGUAAAGAACAAGCACGUGGAAUUUUUCCGUAAUCUUUACUUGACGUUCCUGGAGUACGAUGGGAAUCUUCUGAGACGGGAACUCUUCGGCUGUCCCAGUCAGGCCAGCUCUG
Long non-coding RNA from Sinocyclocheilus rhinocerous, 299 nucleotides. RefSeq lists it as uncharacterized. The record is from RefSeq and is a predicted model, not a curated record. NCBI's taxonomy places the organism in Eukaryota, Metazoa, Chordata, Actinopteri, Cypriniformes, Cyprinidae. The transcript has 3 exons.